This is a long non-coding RNA of Strigops habroptila (Kakapo), 1667 nucleotides long. The record is from Ensembl. Lineage: Eukaryota; Metazoa; Chordata; Aves; Psittaciformes; Psittacidae.
AGGAUGAAAAAAACAACAUAGCUUGUAAAAUAUUUCAUGGAAACACUUUCCAAUCUCUCUGACUUGGAAACCGACUGAUUCAAAGAAAAAACCACAUGUAUACAGUUCUGCUUUCUUAAACUAAUUAUUUCAAAAUAUUAUCAAGGUAUCGUGUGAUCAUCUGGACUCGGAGGAUUCAUCAUUACUGAUGAACAGGAAUGUGCCUUGGCACAAUAGUGUCAGUGGUUGAUUAUGCACUGCAGACACCUAUAGAUAAACAUCUCUAUUCGUAAAAAAUGAGCACUGUCUCCGAGAGCAGUUUCUGAUGAGGCUUUAAAAGCAGCAUCAAAAAUAUGUAAUGCUAGAAGGAUGAGGCUGCCCAGCCCUGUCACAGAGUAGCAUUGCUUUCUACGAGGGGAAAAAAAUAGAUCUGCGCUGUUCCUUAUGAUCAGGGUUUCAUCCAUUUAUUUGGCUAAUCAUUCAAAUGGCUAAACAGACCUCUAAUUUGAAAAUAAAACCCGACUGAUGCAAUCACAAACAAGUUCUGAAAUUGUGAUUUAUAAAAAAAGAGGGGAAAUCUUGUUCGAAGCCAAAACACACACACACAGUUACCUUUUUCUAAUCAGAGCAUUCAUUUCUCCUCAUUAUGAUCUCACAAGCACAUUAAAAUCUUAUUAACAUUAAUUACUUCUGAGCGUCUAUGCAUGAGCAGCGACAGGCUUGCGUGCGCGCGCGCGCGCGUGUGUGUGUAUGUGUGUGUCUCUGGAUCAUAUCUACAUUUAUAUACCUUGCUGCACUUUGCUUAUAAAACAUGUGAAAAUAUUGCUGCUAACACCAAUUAGCUAAUUUCACACACACAGAUAGUAAGCUGCUGUCUCGCUGCACAGCUUAUUAUAGACCAGCAGACAGAUGGACAGACAAACAGACGCAGAAAGCAUCACGGCUCCUCCUAAAUGCAAGAUCUGAAAUGCCUGGCACCCCCAGGAGUGCGACUUUUAUCCUCGGAAGUCUGAGGGAACAAAAUGACACAAAUUAAAAAAAAAAAAAAAAAAAAAAGGAAAAAAAUAAAUAAAAAAAAAAAAAUACAAGACAGCCAAAUAUCCCAUUUUCUACACAGAUGGGUUCAAUGAUGAAGUGAUAGAGACAAAGAAAAAACUGGCAGGCAGACAAGCAGCAGGCGCACAGAGAGAUAGACAGAGACAGAUAAACAAAGCAACAGAGAAAGAGAUGAAAGCAUAUUCAUCUAUGUGAAUUUGGGCUAUGCAAUAUCAACUUUAGACCACCAAUAAGGUAAGGAAAGAAAUGGCAGGGCCAGGAGUCACAACAGGUCCAGCUUCACAAGCAAAAUCCUGACUUUCUACACAACUGUUUAUGGAUUGUAUUUACGCUCAGCACACUACACGGAGCACCGCUGCUGGGUCAGACUCAGCUCCACCACAAACUCCAGAACAAACACAGGCAUCUAGACACUGCUGCUGAACUGCACCUUCCUCUUCCUUUUCACCCUUUGUUUCCAUCUAAUUUAGAUUCUGCUUCUGAAUCCCAUCCUCCUGAACAUUCUCUUUGCCAGGGUUUAAGACAUAAAGAACACAUAAGCGUCCCUCAUCAUGGCAAAGCCAUGUUUCUCCAUCACCGGGGGAUUCGCCUCCAAAGGGCAAACCUUGCAGUCCUUUGCAGAACACAGGUGG